RNAcentral lists this ribosomal RNA (467 nucleotides) under uncultured bacterium. Its description in RNAcentral is "partial 16S ribosomal RNA". It matches the Rfam family "Bacterial small subunit ribosomal RNA", at positions 28 to 506 of the family's 1533-position model. The record is from RNAcentral.
GACGAACGCUGGCGGCGUGCUUAACACAUGCAAGUCGAACGGAAAGGCCCUGCUUUUGUGGGGUGCUCGAGUGGCGAACGGGUGAGUAACACGUGAGUAACCUGCCCUUGACUUUGGGAUAACUUCAGGAAACUGGGGCUAAUACCGGAUAGGAGCUCCUGCUGCAUGGUGGGGGUUGGAAAGUUUCGGCGGUUGGGGAUGGACUCGCGGCUUAUCAGCUUGUUGGUGGGGUAGUGGCUUACCAAGGCUUUGACGGGUAGCCGGCCUGAGAGGGUGACCGGCCACAUUGGGACUGAGAUACGGCCCAGACUCCUACGGGAGGCAGCAGGGGGGAAUAUUGCACAAUGGGCGGAAGCCUGAUGCAGCAACGCCGCGUGCGGGAUGACGGCCUUCGGGUUGUAAACCGCUUUCGCCUGUGACGAAGCGUGAGUGACGGUAAUGGGAAAAGAAGCACCGGCUAACUACGU